UACGAAGGGGGCUAGCGUUGCUCGGAAUCACUGGGCGUAAAGCGCACGUAGGCGGCUUUUUAAGUCAGGGGUGAAAUCCUGGAGCUCAACUCCAGAACUGCCUUUGAUACUGCAAAUCUCGAGUCCGGAAGAGGUGAGUGGAAUUCCUAGUGUAGAGGUGAAAUUCGUAGAUAUUAGGAAGAACACCAGUGGCGAAGGCGGCUCACUGGUCCGGUACUGACGCUGAGGUGCGAAAGCGUGGGGAGCAAACAGG
Molecule: ribosomal RNA, 253 nt
Filed under: uncultured bacterium
Lineage: Bacteria
Description: partial 16S ribosomal RNA
Rfam family: Bacterial small subunit ribosomal RNA
Source: RNAcentral